CCCUAUUAUACCAGAGGAUAAUAGGAAAAAGCUAGAGUAGUAAGAGUAAAUGAGCUCGAAAUUCAAAGAAUUUGGCGGUAUUUUAGUCUAGUUGGAGGAACCUGUUUUAUAAACGAUACACCACGUAAAAUUUUUCUUAUUCUUGUAAAGUUAGUAUACCUUCAUUAUUAGAUAAUAUUGAGAGAUAUUGUUGGAAUCAAAGUUUUUGAGUAUAUUAGAUCACGGUGCUGCCUAUGAAUAAGUAUAAAUGGGUUACAAUAAAAAUUUAUUUAGACGGAGCUAGGAGUUAAAUUCCUAGUGAAGGGGGAUUCAAUUGUAAUCUAGAAUUUAGUAAGGCUAGAUGGUAAUAGCUCUAGAAUGUGU
Molecule: ribosomal RNA, 363 nt
Filed under: Linuparus trigonus
Lineage: Eukaryota; Metazoa; Arthropoda; Malacostraca; Decapoda; Palinuridae
Description: partial 12S ribosomal RNA
Source: RNAcentral